GCACAAGCGGUGGAGCAUGUUGUUUAAUUCGAAGCAACGCGAAGAACCUUACCAGGUCUUGACAUCCCGAUGCUAUUUCUAGAGAUAGAAAGUUACUUCGGUACAUCGGUGACAGGUGUGCAUGGUUGUCGUCAGCUCGUGUCGUGAGAUGUUGGGUUAAGUCCCGCAACGAGCGCAACCCCUAUUGUUAGUUGCCAUCAUUCAGUUGGGCACUCUAGCGAGACUGCCGGUAAUAAACCGGAGGAAGUGGGGAUGACGUCAAAUCAUCAUGCCCCUUAUGACCUGGGCUACACACGUGCUACAAUGGUUGGUACAACGAGUUGCGAGUCGGUGACGGCGAGCUAAUCUCUUAAAGCCAAUCUCAGUUCGGAUUGUAGGCUGCAACUCGCCUACAUGAAGUCGGAAUCGCUAGUAAUCGCGGAUCAGCACGCCGCGGUGAAUACGUUCCCGGGCCUU
RNAcentral lists this ribosomal RNA (456 nucleotides) under uncultured Streptococcus sp. RNAcentral describes it as "bacterial SSU rRNA". It matches the Rfam family "Bacterial small subunit ribosomal RNA", at positions 923 to 1382 of the family's 1533-position model. The record is from RNAcentral. Lineage: Bacteria; Bacillati; Bacillota; Bacilli; Lactobacillales; Streptococcaceae.